UUCUAUGGAAAAAUAAUAUGGAAUUGGAUAGUAUCAUGAAUUUUUACCUAAUUUAAGUGUGAGACCACUCACCCGUGCAAUAUCUCCAAAUGGGCUAAAAGAAUUAUUGGGAGUUGUCAAAAGGGCAAUUAAUUAUUUUAGUGCUGCAAAUAUUUUUGAUUUAAUUGGCUUGUUAUUAUUCUCGUUGUAAUAACAGAACGAUGUGGCCCUUUUUAGCCCUCGUUCAGAUUUGCAUUCCAUUUCCAAGACUUUCAGGCACGUCACUGUUGUCAUACUCUUUUCUUUUUCUUCGUUUUUUUGAAUAAAAAACGUUUUGUCUUUUUUGUUUUUGUUAUAAUUAAAGUUGACAAAGCACUUUAUUGACUAAUUUAUUCACAAUAAAUUAUUGAACUAUUUAAAUCGCUCUCAUAUUCUUGUUCAUAUUAUUCUUGCACGAGAUUCAACACCCAAAGUACAGGCAGAAUGCAAUUCCACAUCAUCAGUAUGAUUUCUUUGAAAAACAACACAGUCACACUCAAAAUAAUAUAUUUUAUGAGUUCUGGCCUCUUGAUCGGGAAGACAAAAUGGCAUGGGAUGUUUUCCUUAGUUUGCAGAAUGCCAUUCCACAUCAUCACCAGUAUGAUUUCUUUCAUCCAAACUGCAGAGAGCAGCAUCGAUCGCCUCUUCCCAGGGCCAUGAACCAACAUAGAAUCGGAUCUCUAAUAGUCAACCAAAAGAUGUUGUAUAAGGAAGAUCUUAGCUGCUACAUUGCGAUGUUGUUGAAGAAGAAACAAUCUGAGCUACUACAUGGAAUCGAAAUCAAUCUAGGCUUUUUAAUUGAUUUCUCCCUUCCUGCAAUGUUUGCUGUUGAAGAAGAAACAAUUUGUCUCUUGCGUUGUUAGAAUCUCGCUCUCUUCUCGUUUGAAACUCGCUGCGUUUUGUAACAGGUAUGUUACAAUUGUUUUUCAAAUCGAGAUAUCGAAAUGUGUUGCUAGUGUGUUUUGUUUUUGUUAAA
Long non-coding RNA from Populus trichocarpa (black cottonwood), 994 nucleotides. RefSeq lists it as uncharacterized. The transcript is spliced from 2 exons. NCBI's taxonomy places the organism in Eukaryota, Viridiplantae, Streptophyta, Magnoliopsida, Malpighiales, Salicaceae. The record is from RefSeq and is a predicted model, not a curated record.